AGCGAACGCUGGCGGCAGGCUUAACACAUGCGAGUCGAGCGGGCAUCCUUGUGGUGUCCGCGGCAGACGGGUGAGUAACGCGUGGGAACGUGCCCUUCGGUUCGGAAUAACUCAGGGAAACUUGAGCUAAUACCGGAUACGCCCUUUUGGGGAAAGGUUUACUGCCGAAGGAUCGGCCCGCGUCUGAUUAGCUAGUUGGUGAGGUUAUGGCUCACCAAGGCGACGAUCAGUAGCUGGUCUGAGAGGAUGAUCAGCCACACUGGGACUGAGACACGGCCCAGACUCCUACGGGAGGCAGCAGUGGGGAAUAUUGGACAAUGGGGGCAACCCUGAUCCAGCCAUGCCGCGUGAGUGAUGACGGCCUUAGGGUUGUAAAGCUCUUUUCUCCGGGACGAUAAUGACGGUACCGGAGGAAUAAGCCCCGGCUAACUUCGUG
Molecule: ribosomal RNA, 436 nt
Filed under: uncultured bacterium
Lineage: Bacteria
Description: partial 16S ribosomal RNA
Rfam family: Bacterial small subunit ribosomal RNA
Source: RNAcentral